Molecule: ribosomal RNA, 497 nt
Filed under: uncultured bacterium
Lineage: Bacteria
Description: partial 16S ribosomal RNA
Rfam family: Bacterial small subunit ribosomal RNA
Source: RNAcentral
GACGAACGCUGGCGGCGUGCCUAAUACAUGCAAGUUGAGCGAUGAAGAUUGGUGCUUGCACCAAUUUGAAGAGCAGCGAACGGGUGAGUAACGCGUGGGGAAUCUGCCUUUGAGCGGGGGACAACAUUUGGAAACGAAUGCUAAUACCGCAUAACAACUUUAAACAUAAGUUUUAAGUUUGAAAGAUGCAAUUGCAUCACUCAAAGAUGAUCCCGCGUUGUAUUAGCUAGUUGGUGAGGUAAAGGCUCACCAAGGCGAUGAUACAUAGCCGACCUGAGAGGGUGAUCGGCCACAUUGGGACUGAGACACGGCCCAAACUCCUACGGGAGACAGCAGUAGGGAAUCUUCGGCAAUAGACGAAAGUCUGACCGAGCAACGCCGCGUGAGUGAAGAAGGUUUUCGGAUCGUAAAACUCUGUUGGUAGAGAAGAACGUUGGUGAGAGUGGAAAGCUCAUCAAGUGACGGUAACUACCCAGAAAGGGACGGCUAACUACGUG